RNAcentral lists this signal recognition particle RNA (99 nucleotides) under Deltaproteobacteria bacterium. Its description in RNAcentral is "signal recognition particle sRNA small type". It matches the Rfam family "Bacterial small signal recognition particle RNA". Rfam says of the family: The signal recognition particle (SRP) is a universally conserved ribonucleoprotein involved in the co-translational targeting of proteins to membranes. Archaeal SRP consists of a 7S RNA and homologues of the eukaryotic SRP19 and SRP54 proteins. The record is from RNAcentral. Lineage: Bacteria; Pseudomonadati; Myxococcota; Myxococcia.
AGCCGGGUCCUGCGCAACGAAAGGUUGCGAAUCCCGUCAGAUCCGGAAGGAAGCAGCGGUAGUAACUGAUUUCGUGUGCCGCAGGGGAGCCUGGCUAUC